AUUGAACGCUGGCGGCAGGCCUAACACAUGCAAGUCGAACGGUAGCAGGAGAAAGCUUGCUUUCUUGCUGACGAGUGGCGGACGGGUGAGUAAUGCUUGGGAAUCUGGCUUAUGGAGGGGGAUAACUACGGGAAACUGUAGCUAAUACCGCGUAGAAUCGGAAGAUGAAAGUGCGGGACCGCAAGGCCGCAUGCCAUGAGAUGAGCCCAAGUGGGAUUAGGUAGUUGGUGGGGUAAGGGCCUACCAAGCCUGCGAUCUCUAGCUGGUCUGAGAGGAUGGCCAGCCACACUGGAACUGAGACACGGUCCAGACUCCUACGGGAGGCAGCAGUGGGGAAUAUUGCGCAAUGGGGGGAACCCUGACGCAGCCAUGCCGCGUGAAUGAAGAAGGCCUUCGGGUUGUAAAGUUCUUUCGGUAUUGAGGAAGGUUGAUGUGUUAAUAGUACAUCAAAUUGACGUUAAAUACAGAAGAAGCACCGGCUAACUCCGUG
RNAcentral lists this ribosomal RNA (490 nucleotides) under uncultured bacterium. Its description in RNAcentral is "partial 16S ribosomal RNA". It matches the Rfam family "Bacterial small subunit ribosomal RNA", at positions 30 to 507 of the family's 1533-position model. The record is from RNAcentral.